This 431-nucleotide ribosomal RNA is filed under the name uncultured bacterium. RNAcentral describes it as "partial 16S ribosomal RNA". It matches the Rfam family "Bacterial small subunit ribosomal RNA", at positions 29 to 507 of the family's 1533-position model. The record is from RNAcentral.
AACGAACGCUGGCGGCAUGCCUAACACAUGCAAGUCGAACGAGACCUUCGGGUCUAGUGGCGCACGGGUGCGUAACGCGUGGGAACCUGCCCUUAGGUUCGGAAUAACUCCCCGAAAGGGGUGCUAAUACCGGAUAAUGUCUUCGGACCAAAGAUUUAUCGCCUUUGGAUGGGCCCGCGUUGGAUUAGCUAGUUGGUAGGGUAAAAGCCUACCAAGGCGACGAUCCAUAGCUGGUCUGAGAGGAUGAUCAGCCACACUGGGACUGAGACACGGCCCAGACUCCUACGGGAGGCAGCAGUGGGGAAUAUUGGACAAUGGGCGAAAGCCUGAUCCAGCAAUGCCGCGUGAGUGAUGAAGGCCUUAGGGUUGUAAAGCUCUUUUACCCGGGAUGAUAAUGACAGUACCGAGAAUAAGCUCCGGCUAACUCCGUG